AAAAAUGACAUUAUUAAAUUCGUUAAAUAAUAAGGAACUAACUAUUAUGUCAUACAAUGUACAAUUACUAAAUAUACCUUUAACAAAUAAAGUAAAUUUUGUUGCUAGACAGAAUGCUGUAAUUGAUUAUAUAAAUAUGCUUGAUAAUAAAUAUAAUAUAGAUGUAUUAGUAUUAAAUGAAGUAUUUACAAAUGAAACUUACAACAUUUUAACGAGUGACGCAAUGAAAAAAAGAUUCCCAUAUCAUACCAAUGUAGUAGGUAAUACAUCUGAAGGUAAACAAAAAAAAAAAGAAGAAGAGGAAGAGGAAGAAAAAGAAAAAGAGGAAGAGGAAGAAGAAGAUGAAGAAGAAGAGGAAGAGGAAGAAGAAGAUGAAGAAGAAGAGGAAGAGGAAGAAGAAGAUGAAGAAAAGGAAGAGGAAGAGAAGGAGGAAAAGGAAGAGAAGAAUGAAGAAGCAAGAGAAGACAAUUUGCGUGGUGAAUUAUAUAAACGGUUAAAAUAUAAUGAAUAUAAUCAUAAGCCAUCGCAUAAGACUGUUAUAGAAAAUGGGACAUAUAUAGACGAUUAUGUUACUAUGGACGCUGUAAAUCUUAAUAAAAAUGAUAAUAAAUGUUAUAAUACCAAUAACUUUAGUAGUAAUAAUAUUACUGAUAACAAUAUUAAUUAUGAUGCAAUAUUACCUUCUACUAGUAAUAAAGAUAUUAUAAACCAUAAAAAUAAAAAAAAAAAAAAUAAAAACGUAAACAAAAACAAUGUAAAUAAUGGCUAUAAUAAUUUGCAUAAAAAUAAGAGAAAAAUAUUAAAAGUGGAAAAGAAAGAAAACAUGUAUAUAGAAAGGAACGGAGACGUAACAAAUGUUACAACUGAACAUGACAAUAGUGAAAAUACCGAAUAUUUGAUUACAGAUGAUAGAAAAUAUAUUAACAACAUGCAUAAAAUUUACAAUGAUCAUAAAAUAGAUAAAAAAAUAAAAAAUAUAAAUAAUAUAACAGAAAAAUAUAACAAUGGUAAUUUAAAAAAAAAAAAAAAUAAGAAGGGUUAUUCUAAUUUUAAUACAGUAUCUGGUAGAGUAAGGUUUUAUCACGUUUAUAAUGGAGGUGUUAUGGUUUUAGCUAAAUUUAAAAUAUUACAUACUCAUGCACUAGUAUAUUCUGCAUGCAAAUUUCCCGACGCUUUUUCUUCAAAAGGUGCAAUUUAUCUACAGAUGCAAAUAGGAGGGAAAAAAGUAAAUAUUGUAGCUACACAUUUACAAGCGGGUGAAACAUAUGAACACGAAAUAUGUAGGCGACAACAAUUAAAAGAAUUAAGUGGGUGGUUAAAAACAGGUGCGCCUAGUAAUUUAAUUGAAAAAGGUGCACCAUUAUUUUUCGUUGGUGAUUUUAAUAUAAAACAUGACAUAGAUAAAAAUAUUUUUACAUAUUUGUUAUCAGGCGAAUGUUUAAAUAGUUCUGUUACUUCUAAUUCAUUAGAUACAACGUUGUAUUCCAUUAGGAGGGGUUUAUAUACAUCACCCUAGUGACCAUUUCCCAAUAUAUGCAAAAUUUUUAAUAUAAAAUAAAAAAAAAAUAAAUAAUAUUAUAAGAAAAAAA
This 1589-nucleotide long non-coding RNA is filed under the name Piliocolobus tephrosceles (Ugandan red Colobus). Its description in RNAcentral is "lncRNA (ENSPTEG00000008935.1)". The record is from RNAcentral. Lineage: Eukaryota; Metazoa; Chordata; Mammalia; Primates; Cercopithecidae.